CUCAAUGUCCAACCUCAGGAAACAUCUAGAGGAAGGAAGAAAGCUGUGAGACUUCUACCUCUGCAGUGCCACCACUGCUUUUCCAUCUGGAUCACUGAUGCCUAACCCUGCAAGAACCAGAUGCAAGGAGGAGGAUGUCAGGGCAUCAGGAAGAAACCCUUGUAGAGAUGGGGAGAACAUGCAAAUUCCACGCAGGGAGGACCUAGGACACAAACCCUGGUCUCUUUACUAGGAGGCAACAGCAAGACCAUUGUGCAACCCUAUUUAUUUUUU
Molecule: long non-coding RNA, 273 nt
Organism: Polypterus senegalus (gray bichir)
Lineage: Eukaryota; Metazoa; Chordata; Cladistia; Polypteriformes; Polypteridae
Exons: 4
Source: RefSeq, a predicted model, not a curated record